GACGGGAGGGACGAGCGUUAUCCAUCUUGGCUAGGCGUACAGGGUACCUCGAUUGUUCGGCAAGGAUAUGAUUGAAAUACUUAUUCAAGUGAUAAGUAGCGGUCAGCUUCAACUACCGGACUAGAGUUCGAGAAAGGCGUAAGGGGAAUACUCGGAGUAGGAAUGACAUCCGCCAAAAGCGAGUAGAAUGCCAGGGGUGAAAACACUUUACGACUAAGAACUGACAUUCAUGGUACGAAGGCAUGGGGAGCGAAAGGG
This 258-nucleotide unclassified non-coding RNA is filed under the name uncultured bacterium. RNAcentral's name for it is "contains 16S-23S intergenic spacer region". It matches the Rfam family "Bacterial small subunit ribosomal RNA", at positions 524 to 776 of the family's 1533-position model. The record is from RNAcentral.